This 219-nucleotide long non-coding RNA is filed under the name Arachis ipaensis. RNAcentral's name for it is "long non-coding RNA (AIPA_LNC002132)". The record is from RNAcentral. Lineage: Eukaryota; Viridiplantae; Streptophyta; Magnoliopsida; Fabales; Fabaceae.
AGCCGUCCCUGACCCUAACCCCCAAAUCCCCAAUCCCUAACCUGCGCUCUCUAGUCUCUACUCUCUACUCUCUACUACUCAGUCGCUCUCGCUCUCUCUUCUCCAAAUCCCCAAUCCCUAACCUGCGCACCCAAAUCUCCCCAAUCUCUUCGCGGAGACGCCACCCACUGACCCAGAAGGCAGCACAGCACUGACCCAGAAGAGAGAGCACAGCACGAC